GGCUUGUGGCUCAGUGGUAGAGCGCUCGCUUAGCACAUGCGAGGCCCUGAGUUCAAUCCUCAGCACCA
RNAcentral lists this transfer RNA (68 nucleotides) under Marmota monax (woodchuck). RNAcentral describes it as "tRNA.Ala". The stretch from base 5 to 65 matches the Rfam family "tRNA", at positions 6 to 65 of the family's 71-position model. Rfam says of the family: Transfer RNA (tRNA) molecules are approximately 80 nucleotides in length. Their secondary structure includes four short double-helical elements and three loops (D, anti-codon, and T loops). Lineage: Eukaryota; Metazoa; Chordata; Mammalia; Rodentia; Sciuridae. The record is from RNAcentral.